Molecule: small nucleolar RNA, 71 nt
Organism: Pan paniscus (pygmy chimpanzee)
Lineage: Eukaryota; Metazoa; Chordata; Mammalia; Primates; Hominidae
Source: Ensembl
UAAACCAAUGAUAAGUACCCUGAGGUGCUUGAAUCAAGGAUUUUGAUUAAACUAUAUGACUCUAGGUCCAU